GGUGUCCACAGGGGCCUCCCAACAAUCCUCUAUUAUAGGAUGUAUCUACCUUUCUCUCUGGAUACACUAGAUUCACAGUGAGACAUGUUUGUAGGGAGGCAAAUUCGAUAGCACACUGGGUGGUGGCCUAUAUUGUGGAGCAUACUAGAGACAGUUUGUGGACUUCUUUUGGAUCAACCUGGAGAUAAUUGAGAGAUAUUUUAUUUUCUAAUCUUUUUGGAUGUAUUCACACAUGACUUGUUUGAAUGAUCUGCUUUAUCCAAAAAAAAGAUUUACUUUUUUCUUUCUAUAGCUCAAUAGGCCAUAGGUUGGGAUUAGGUCAAGAUCUGGAUGUCUUUAUAAGAUGUGAGCUGGACAGACCAUCAGCUUGAUUAUUAUAGGAUUUUUGGUCCAAUCAUGCAGGAAUAUCUAUAUAGGUUCUACGGAUUAUUUUUAGCUGUGAAUCACUAGAUAAUUGUUUUAUCCCUCUCUGAUAGUAAUUUUGAUGCCUCUAACUAGGAAGAGAAGAUUUUCAGCCAUAGCAGUGUUAUUUUUCAUUUGAUAGAAUAAAUCUAAAUCAUAGUACCUCUUUGGAGUCAUCUUGCAACCAAAUUGGAUCUCGAAAAUUCACAAGGC
This 615-nucleotide long non-coding RNA is filed under the name Elaeis guineensis (African oil palm). RNAcentral's name for it is "long non-coding RNA (EGUI_LNC017446)". The record is from RNAcentral. Lineage: Eukaryota; Viridiplantae; Streptophyta; Magnoliopsida; Arecales; Arecaceae.